ACGAACGCUGGCGGCGCGCCUAACACAUGCAAGUCGAACGGGGUUAUACGGGAUGAAGUUUUCGGAUGGAAUUCUAUAUAACCUAGUGGCGGACGGGUGAGUAACACGUGAGCAACCUGCCUAUCAGAGGGGGAUAACGAUUGGAAACGAUCGCUAAUACCGCAUGACAUAGCGAAACCGCAUGGUUUUGCUAUCAAAGAUUUAUCGCUGAUAGAUGGGCUCGCGUCCGAUUAGAUAGUUGGCGGGGUAACGGCCCACCAAGUCGACGAUCGGUAGCCGGACUGAGAGGUUGAACGGCCACAUUGGGACUGAGACACGGCCCAGACUCCUACGGGAGGCAGCAGUGAGGAAUAUUGGUCAAUGGGCGAGAGCCUGAACCAGCCAAGUCGCGUGAAGGACUACGGCCCUAUGGGUCUUAAAC
RNAcentral lists this ribosomal RNA (421 nucleotides) under uncultured bacterium. RNAcentral describes it as "bacterial SSU rRNA". It matches the Rfam family "Bacterial small subunit ribosomal RNA", at positions 29 to 430 of the family's 1533-position model. The record is from RNAcentral.